UUGGUGAGAGCCGAGGGUGCCUUCGGGAGCCAGAACACAGGUGCUGCAUGGCUGUCGUCAGCUCGUGUCGUGAGAUGUUGGGUUAAGUCCCGCAACGAGCGCAACCCUUGUCACUAGUUGCCAUCAUUUAGUUGGGCACUCUAGUGAGACUGCCGGUGACAAACCGGAGGAAGGUGGGGAUGACGUCAAGUCCUCAUGGCCCUUAUGGGUAGGGCUUCACACGUCAUACAAUGGUCGGUACAGAGGGUUGCCAAGCCGCGAGGUGGAGCCAAUCCCAUAAAGCCAUUCGUAGUCCGGAUCGCAGUCUGCAACUCGACUGCGUGAAGUCGGAAUCGCUAGUAAUCGUGGAUCAGAAUGUCACGGUGAAUACGUUCCCGGGUCUU
Molecule: ribosomal RNA, 383 nt
Filed under: uncultured Thauera sp.
Lineage: Bacteria; Pseudomonadati; Pseudomonadota; Betaproteobacteria; Rhodocyclales; Zoogloeaceae
Description: bacterial SSU rRNA
Rfam family: Bacterial small subunit ribosomal RNA
Source: RNAcentral